This 244-nucleotide unclassified non-coding RNA is filed under the name uncultured Helotiales. RNAcentral describes it as "sequence contains 5.8S rRNA gene". The stretch from base 1 to 53 matches the Rfam family "5.8S ribosomal RNA", at positions 102 to 154 of the family's 154-position model. The record is from RNAcentral. Lineage: Eukaryota; Fungi; Ascomycota; Leotiomycetes; Helotiales.
GAACGCACAUUGCGCCCUCUGGUAUUCCGGAGGGCAUGCCUGUUCGAGCGUCAUAAUGACCAAAUCACCCUCGUGGUGGACUUGGAGCUGGCCUGUACAGGCCUCUCUUAAAACUAGUGGCGGUGCUCUUAAAGCUCUACGCGUAGUAAUUUUUCUCGCUACAGAGUCUUGAUUGUACUUGCCAACAACCCCAAUUAUUUUAAGGUUGACCUCGGAUCAGGUAGGGAUACCCGCUGAACUUAAG